AUGGGGAGGCAUUCGUGCUGCUACAAGCAGAAGCUGAGGAAGGGGCUCUGGUCCCCUGAGGAGGAUGAGAAGCUCAUGAACCACAUCACCAAGCAUGGCCAUGGCUGCUGGAGCUCUGUCCCUAAACUUGCAGGGCUCCAAAGGUGCGGCAAGAGCUGCAGGCUGAGGUGGAUAAACUACCUAAGGCCAGACCUUAAGAGAGGUGCCUUCGCUCAGGACGAGGAAGACCUCAUCGUUGAACUCCAUGCUGUGCUCGGGAACAGGUGGUCUCAAAUUGCAGCACAGAUGCCUGGGAGGACUGACAAUGAGAUUAAGAACCUCUGGAACUCGUCCCUCAAGAAGAAGCUGCGGCAGAAGGGCAUUGACCCCAACACCCACAAGCCCCUCACUGAGGCUGAUCGCAGUGGAGCAGCUCCCACCAUCAGCACCGAGAGGACCUCUGGUUCCAGUGAUGUCAACCCGUCAAGCGCUGGUGCUCUAGGGAACUUCGGUCACCUCCUCAGCGAGACAGCCCAAUCUUCAAUGCUGCUGCCAGUGUAUGACAAGAAGCGCCCUGAAACUCCAAGCUUGGCACGACCUAAGGUGCCAGCAAAGGAGUUGUUCCUGGACCAGCUUACUGCUGGUCAUGAGAGCCCAUCAAGCUGCCGUUCAUCAGGUCCAACGCUGUAUUUUCCUUUUCAGCAGCAAUUAGGCUACAGCAACGAGUGUGGCAGUGGAGAUGGUGCAAAUAUGAACUCACUCUGGUUUAACCAGAAUGAUUUCAGUUGCAACACAAUUUCCACUGUGAUGCCAACAGUUUCACCAUCAGCCCUCUCGACGCCGAUGGGACUGAACCUCCCACCAGACAAUCACCGCCAUGGGGGCACUGGCAUCGGCAGUGCCCCUUUCUACUGGGAUGGUGUUAAUCCUAGCAGCAGCGGUAGUACCGGGAGCAGCGGAAGCAACAGCAUGGGGUUCGAGCCACAGAGCACGAACUCAAUUCUGGAGAACAGUGUAUUCCCAUGGACAGAUAUCGGAGUUGGGCAAGAAAAGGAUACCAGAGUUCAGUUAGUGGAGGAACUCAAGUGGCCUGACUUGCUUCAUGGAACCUUUGCAGAGGCAACCACAGCGAUGCAGAACCAGAGCCAAUCACUAUACGAUGAUGUGAUCAAAGCAGAGAGCCAGUUCAACAUGGAAGGGAUAUGUGCUUCUUGGUUCCAGAAUCAGCAGCCACAGCAACAGCUGCAAGCAGCAUCAGACAUGUAUGAUAAAGACUUGCAAAGAAUGCCCUUGUCUUUUGAGCAUAUCUAG
This 1290-nucleotide ribosomal RNA is filed under the name Triticum aestivum (bread wheat). RNAcentral describes it as "partial small subunit ribosomal RNA". Lineage: Eukaryota; Viridiplantae; Streptophyta; Magnoliopsida; Poales; Poaceae. The record is from RNAcentral.